RNAcentral lists this non-coding RNA (618 nucleotides) under Pongo abelii (Sumatran orangutan). The record is from RNAcentral. Lineage: Eukaryota; Metazoa; Chordata; Mammalia; Primates; Hominidae.
GGGCUGGGCCAGAACAUUAAGGGAAGGAGCCUCAACAGGGCCAAGGAACAGCCUGACGCAGGCAGGAGAGUGCUCAGAGGUUCCGCCUAGCUGCACAUACUGGCACCGGGACAGGGGCCGAGCGGGAGCGGGGCCGGGGCAGGGUGGGGGAGGCGGGGACAGGGGGAGCGGGUCGGAUUCAGCAGCACUUCUGCAAAGGAUCUGAUGGGGUCCCUGGGAUGCUCCGUGGUGGGCAAGCCCACGUAAACCAUUGCGAACCAAGACGCUGGCUGCCAUGAAACACCCACUCAACGCCCGGGCACUGGGCUUGCCUCGUACAGGCAAUUUGUUCAGUCCUGGCCUCAGGACCAGACGCUGGGGCCAAAGCAGAUGCCCAUCAGACGGCCGCAGACGAUGAGAAUUACGUGGCACCACUCAGCUCACCAGCUGUGCACCUCCAGGGGCUUCCGUUGGGGCCUGGUUCUGACGUCUUUCUGAGAUCCAGCAGCGACCUGGCUUCGGGCCAGCCUCCCCUUAUCUGAAUCUGUACCUGCCCUCACACAAGCGGCAUGCGUGUGACAGUACCCAUUCCAUCUUCAUCAUGCCCAAGAGUUUCAGCUCUGGGUUCUCUUCUGAAGC